RNAcentral lists this long non-coding RNA (1333 nucleotides) under Triticum aestivum (bread wheat). RNAcentral's name for it is "long non-coding RNA (TAES_LNC027678)". The record is from RNAcentral. Lineage: Eukaryota; Viridiplantae; Streptophyta; Magnoliopsida; Poales; Poaceae.
UAGAAUUUAGUAUGUUGCUAAAGUGUUAGUUGUGACCAUCUCAUCCUUCUUUAUUAAUCCACGUAGAAGGAUGACUUUUGAUACAUACAACAUCGGUAUCGAUGUGGUCAGAGUAACUUAAUAUAGCUAUGUUCAAACCAAAAUAGCAUGUCAGACAUGAAAUGUUCCGUUGCCCCUACAUUCUCGCCGAUAAUUAAUUGUGCUUUAACAAAUAAAAAGGGGAAUAAUAUAAAGAAUUAUUAUGUUUGAAAGAGCAGGUGAGAAAGAUACACAGCCUUAGCGAUUUUUGCUCUUCUCCAUUUGGAUGUUUUCUUGUAAACCAUUGUGCCACCUUGGAGCCCUUCACUCCUAACGUCUGGCUAUAUGUUCAGGAAAAAAACAAAUAUAUAGCAAACAUAAAUAUUGGAAAUUAUAGCCUAUAUAAAAAAAGCAUAAAUUAGUUGUUAGCCUAGAAUGAAGAACAGAUGGAAACCUUAAAGCUAGCUACAUCAAGUACUUAAUAAUAAACAAACAGACUGAACUGAUCUACUCGGACGAAUGGCGGAGAGAAGUAAGCAGCUUGCCUAAACAAUCAAACCUCUGCAAUGGCAAUGUGUAGAAUUUAGUAUGUUGCUAAAGUGUUAGUUGUGACCAUCUCAUCCUUCUUUAUUAAUCCACGUAGAAGGAUGACUUUUGAUACAUACAACAUCGGUAUCGAUGUGGUCAGAGUAACUUACUUAAUAUAGCUAUGUUCAAACCAAAAUAGCAUGUCAGACAUGAAAUGUUCCGUUGCCCCUACAUUCUCGCCGAUAAUUAAUUGUGCUUUAACAAAUAAAAAGGGGAAUAAUAUAAAGAAUUAUUAUGUUUGAAAGAGCAGGUGAGAAAGAUACACAGCCUUAGCGAUUUUUGCUCUUCUCCAUUUGGAUGUUUUCUUGUAAACCAUUGUGCCACCUUGGAGCCCUUCACUCCUAACGUCUGGCUAUAUGUUCAGGAAAAAAACAAAUAUAUAGCAAACAUAAAUAUUGGAAAUUAUAGCCUAUAUAAAAAAAGCAUAAAUUAGUUGUUAGCCUAGAAUGAAGAACAGAUGGAAACCUUAAAGCUAGCUACAUCAAGUACUUAAUAAUAAACAAACAGACUGAACUGAUCUACUCGGACGAAUGGCGGAGAGAAGUAAGCAGCUUGCCUAAACAAUCAAACCUCUGCAAUGGUUAUUCGUGGAACUAUGGAAUUGUAUUCCUUUGUUGUUUACUAAUUGGAUUUCUUAUUGCCUAAAGAAGUUUGAUUGUUUUUGUUUACUUAGCUUUUCAAUCUAUAGCACAGCUAUAUAUGCUUUUCACAAUUCACAAAUGUUGGC